AUGGACGAAAGUCUGAUGGAGCAACGCCGCGUGAGUGAAGAAGGGUUUCGGCUCGUAAAACUCUGUUGUUAAAGAAGAACAUAUCUGAGAGUAACUGUUCAGGUAUUGACGGUAUUUAACCAGAAAGCCACGGCUAACUACGUGCCAGCAGCCGCGGUAAUACGUAGGUGGCAAGCGUUGUCCGGAUUUAUUGGGCGUAAAGCGAGCGCAGGCGGUUUUUUAAGUCUGAUGUGAAAGCCUUCGGCUCAACCGAAGAAGUGCAUCGGAAACUGGGGAACUUGAGUGCAGAAGAGGACAGUGGAACUCCAUGUGUAGCGGUGAAAUGCGUAGAUAUAUGGAAGAACACCAGUGGCGAAGGCGGCUGUCUGGUCUGUAACUGACGCUGAGGCUCGAAAGUAUGGGUAGCAAACAGGAUUAGAUACCCUGGUAGUCCAUACCGUAAACGAUGAAUGGUAAGUGUUGGAAGGUUUCCGCCCUUCAGUGCUGCAGCUAACGCAUUAAGCAUUCCGCCUGGGGAGUACGGCCGCAAGGCUGAAACUCAAAGGAAUUGACGGGGGCCCGCACAAGCGGUGGAGCAUGUGGUUUAAUUCGAAGCUAC
RNAcentral lists this ribosomal RNA (598 nucleotides) under Lactiplantibacillus plantarum. Its description in RNAcentral is "bacterial SSU rRNA". It matches the Rfam family "Bacterial small subunit ribosomal RNA", at positions 371 to 960 of the family's 1533-position model. Lineage: Bacteria; Bacillati; Bacillota; Bacilli; Lactobacillales; Lactobacillaceae. The record is from RNAcentral.